GAUGAACGCUAGCUACAGGCUUAACACAUGCAAGUCGAGGGGAAACGACAUCGAAAGCUUGCUUUUGAUGGGCGUCGACCGGCGCACGGGUGAGUAACGCGUAUCCAACCUGCCCAUCACUUGGGGAUAACCUUGCGAAAGUAAGACUAAUACCCAAUGAUAUCUCUAGAAGACAUCUGAAGGAGAUUAAAGAUUUAUCGGUGAUGGAUGGGGAUGCGUCUGAUUAGCUUGUUGGCGGGGUAACGGCCCACCAAGGCGACGAUCAGUAGGGGUUCUGAGAGGAAGGUCCCCCACAUUGGAACUGAGACACGGUCCAAACUCCUACGGGAGGCAGCAGUGAGGAAUAUUGGUCAAUGGGCGAGAGUCUGAACCAGCCAAGUAGCGUGCAGGAUGACGGCCCUAUGGGUUGUAAACUGCUUUUAUAAGGGAAUAAAGUGAGAGUCGUGACUCUUUUUGCAUGUACCUUAUGAAUAAGGACCGGCUAAGUCCGUGCCAGCCGCCGCGGUAA
This 508-nucleotide ribosomal RNA is filed under the name uncultured bacterium. RNAcentral describes it as "partial 16S ribosomal RNA". It matches the Rfam family "Bacterial small subunit ribosomal RNA", at positions 28 to 523 of the family's 1533-position model. The record is from RNAcentral.